Molecule: ribosomal RNA, 440 nt
Filed under: uncultured bacterium
Lineage: Bacteria
Description: partial 16S ribosomal RNA
Rfam family: Bacterial small subunit ribosomal RNA
Source: RNAcentral
CCUACGGGAGGCAGCAGUGGGGAAUAUUGCACAAUGGGCGAAAGCCUGAUGCAGCGACGCCGCGUGAAGGAUGAAGUAUUUCGUUAUGUAAACUUCUAUCAGCAGGGAAGAAAAUGACGGUACCUGACUAAGAAGCCCCGGCUAACUACGUGCCAGCAGCCGCGGUAAUACGUAGGGGGCAAGCGUUAUCCGGAUUUACUGGGUGUAAAGGGAGCGUAGACGGCGGUGCAAGCCAGAAGUGAAAGGCCGGGGCUCAACCCCGGGACUGCAUUUGAAACUGUGUGGCUGGAGUGCAGGAGAGGUAAGUGGAAUUCCUAGUGUAGCGGUGAAAUGCGUAGAUAUUAGGAGGAACACCAGUGGCGAAGGCGGCUUGCUGGACGAUGACUGACGUUGAGGCUCGAAAGCGUGGGGAGCAAACAGGAUUAGAUACCCCUGUAGUC